RNAcentral lists this ribosomal RNA (582 nucleotides) under uncultured Helotiales. RNAcentral's name for it is "eukaryotic LSU rRNA". The stretch from base 229 to 382 matches the Rfam family "5.8S ribosomal RNA". The record is from RNAcentral. Lineage: Eukaryota; Fungi; Ascomycota; Leotiomycetes; Helotiales.
UCUUGGUCAUUUAGAGGAAGUAAAAGUCGUAACAAGGUUUCCGUAGGUGAACCUGCGGAAGGAUCAUUACAGAGUUCAUGCCCUCACGGGUAGAUCUCCCACCCUUGAAUAUUUUAUACCUUUGUUGCUUUGGCGGGCCGCUUCGGCUACCGGCUUCGGCUGGUGAGUGCCCGCCAGAGGACCCCAAAUUCUGAAUUAAGUGUCGUCUGAGUACUAUAAAAUAGUUAAAACUUUCAACAACGGAUCUCUUGGUUCUGGCAUCGAUGAAGAACGCAGCGAAAUGCGAUAAGUAAUGUGAAUUGCAGAAUUCAGUGAAUCAUCGAAUCUUUGAACGCACAUUGCGCCCCUUGGUAUUCCGAGGGGCAUGCCUGUUCGAGCGUCAUUAUAACCCCUCAAGCUCAGCUUGGUGUUGGGGCCUGCCGCACGGGCAGCCCUUAAAAUCAGUGGCGGUGCCAUCUGGCUCUAAGCGUAGUAAUUCUUCUCGCUAUAGAGUCCCGGUGGAUGCUUGCCAUUAACCCCCAAUUUUCUAUGGUUGACCUCGGAUCAGGUAGGGAUACCCGCUGAACUUAAGCAUAUCAAUAA